CCUACGGGAGGCUGCAGUGGGGAAUAUUGGACAAUGGGCGAAAGCCUGAUCCAGCCAUGCCGCGUGUGUGAAGAAGGCCUUCGGGUUGUAAAGCACUUUCAGUGGGGAAGAAAGCCUUGGGGCUAAUACCCUCGAGGAAGGACAUCACCCACAGAAGAAGCACCGGCUAACUCCGUGCCAGCAGCCGCGGUAAUACGGAGGGUGCGAGCGUUAAUCGGAAUUACUGGGCGUAAAGCGCGCGUAGGCGGUCUGAUAAGCCGGUUGUGAAAGCCCCGGGCUCAACCUGGGAACGGCAUCCGGAACUGUCAGGCUAGAGUGCAGGAGAGGAAGGUAGAAUUCCCGGUGUAGCGGUGAAAUGCGUAGAGAUCGGGAGGAAUACCAGUGGCGAAGGCGGCCUUCUGGACUGACACUGCCGCUGAGGUGCGAAAGCGUGGGUAGCAAACAGGAUUAGAUACCCGAGUAGUC
RNAcentral lists this ribosomal RNA (465 nucleotides) under Vreelandella stevensii. Its description in RNAcentral is "partial 16S ribosomal RNA". It matches the Rfam family "Bacterial small subunit ribosomal RNA", at positions 338 to 795 of the family's 1533-position model. The record is from RNAcentral. Lineage: Bacteria; Pseudomonadati; Pseudomonadota; Gammaproteobacteria; Oceanospirillales; Halomonadaceae.